This 497-nucleotide ribosomal RNA is filed under the name uncultured bacterium. RNAcentral describes it as "partial 16S ribosomal RNA". It matches the Rfam family "Bacterial small subunit ribosomal RNA", at positions 28 to 507 of the family's 1533-position model. The record is from RNAcentral.
GAUGAACGCUGGCGGCGUGCCUAAUACAUGCAAGUCGAGCGAACGGACGAGAAGCUUGCUUCUCUGAUGUUAGCGGCGGACGGGUGAGUAACACGUGGAUAACCUACCUAUAAGACUAGGAUAACUUCGGGAAACCGUAGCUAAUACCGGAUAAUAUUUUGAACCGCAUGGUUCAAAAGUGAAAGACGGUCUUGCUGUCACUUAUAGAUGGAUCCGCGCUGCAUUAGCUAGUUGGUAAGGUAACGGCUUACCAAGGCAACGAUGCAUAGCCGACCUGAGAGGGUGAUCGGCCACACGGGAACUGAGACACGGUCCAGACUCCUACGGGAGGCAGCAGUAGGGAAUCUUCCGCAAUGGGCGAAAGCCUGACGGAGCAACGCCGCGUGAGUGAUGAAGGUCUUCGGAUCGUAAAACUCUGUUAUUAGGGAAGAACAUAUGUGUAAGUAACUGUGCACAUCUUGACGGUACCUAAUCAGAAAGCCACGGCUAACUACGUG